Molecule: ribosomal RNA, 894 nt
Filed under: Kingella kingae
Lineage: Bacteria; Pseudomonadati; Pseudomonadota; Betaproteobacteria; Neisseriales; Neisseriaceae
Description: bacterial SSU rRNA
Rfam family: Bacterial small subunit ribosomal RNA
Source: RNAcentral
AUAUUGGAACGUACCGAGUAAUGGGGGAUAACUAUCCGAAAGGAUAGCUAAUACCGCAUACGCUUUGAGAAGGAAAGCAGGGGAUCUUCGGACCUUGCGUUAUUCGAGCGGCCAAUAACUGAUUAGCUAGUUGGUGGGGUAAGGGCCCACCAAGGCGACGAUCAGUAGUGGGUCUGAGAGGAUGAUCCGCCACACUGGGACUGAGACACGGCCCAGACUCCUACGGGAGGCAGCAGUGGGGAAUUUUGGACAAUGGGCGAAAGCCUGAUCCAGCCAUGCCGCGUGUCUGAAGAAGGCCUUCGGGUUGUAAAGGACUUUUGUUAGGGAAGAAAAGGUUGAUGCUAAUAUCAUUAACUGAUGACGGUACCUAAAGAAUAAGCACCGGCUAACUACGUGCCAGCAGCCGCGGUAAUACGUAGGGUGCGAGCGUUAAUCGGAAUUACUGGGCGUAAAGCGAGCGCAGACGGUUAGUUAAGCAAGAUGUGAAAUCCCCGAGCUCAACUUGGGAACUGCGUUUUGAACUGGCUAGCUAGAGUGUGUCAGAGGGGGGUAGAAUUCCACGUGUAGCAGUGAAAUGCGUAGAGAUGUGGAGGAAUACCGAUGGCGAAGGCAGCCCCCUGGGAUAACACUGACGUUCAUGCUCGAAAGCGUGGGUAGCAAACAGGAUUAGAUACCCUGGUAGUCCACGCCCUAAACGAUGUCAAUUAGCUGUUGGGCAACUUGAUUGCUUAGUAGCGUAGCUAACGCGUGAAAUUGACCGCCUGGGGAGUACGGUCGCAAGAUUAAAACUCAAAGGAAUUGACGGGGACCCGCACAAGCGGUGGAUGAUGUGGAUUAAUUCGAUGCAACGCGAAGAACCUUACCUGGUCUUGACACUGUCUCUUAUACACAUCU